This 471-nucleotide ribosomal RNA is filed under the name uncultured Sphingomonas sp. RNAcentral's name for it is "bacterial SSU rRNA". It matches the Rfam family "Bacterial small subunit ribosomal RNA", at positions 1 to 523 of the family's 1533-position model. Lineage: Bacteria; Pseudomonadati; Pseudomonadota; Alphaproteobacteria; Sphingomonadales; Sphingomonadaceae. The record is from RNAcentral.
CUUGAGUUUGAUCAUGGCUCAGAACGAACGCUGGCGGCAUGCCUAACACCUGCAAGUCGAACGAAGUCUUCGGACUUAGUGGCGCACGGGUGCGUAACGCGUGGGAAUCUGCCCUUGGGUACGGAAUAACUCAGAGAAAUUUGUGCUAAUACCGUAUAAUGUCGCAAGACCAAAGAUUUAUCGCCCAAGGAUGAGCCCGCGUAAGAUUAGCUAGUUGGUGAGGUAAAAGCUCACCAAGGCGACGAUCUUUAGCUGGUCUGAGAGGAUGAUCAGCCACACUGGGACUGAGACACGGCCCAGACUCCUACGGGAGGCAGCAGUGGGGAAUAUUGGACAAUGGGCGAAAGCCUGAUCCAACAAUGCCGCGUGAGUGAUGAAGGCCCUAGGGUUGUUUUUUUUUUUUACCCGGGAUGAUAAUGACAGUACCGGGAGAAUAAGCUCCGGCUAACUCCGUGCCAGCAGCCGCGGUAA